UACAGAAUGAGUUCCAGGAUAGC
Molecule: non-coding RNA, 23 nt
Filed under: Cricetulus griseus (Chinese hamster)
Lineage: Eukaryota; Metazoa; Chordata; Mammalia; Rodentia; Cricetidae
Source: RNAcentral